GCACAAGCGGUGGAGCAUGUGGUUUAAUUCGAAGCAACGCGAAGAACCUUACCAAAUCUUGACAUCCUUUGACAACUCUAGAGAUAGAGCCUUCCCCUUCGGGGGACAAAGUGACAGGUGGUGCAUGGUUGUCGUCAGCUCGUGUCGUGAGAUGUUGGGUUAAGUCCCGCAACGAGCGCAACCCUUAAGCUUAGUUGCCAUCAUUAAGUUGGGCACUCUAAGUUGACUGCCGGUGACAAACCGGAGGAAGGUGGGGAUGACGUCAAAUCAUCAUGCCCCUUAUGAUUUGGGCUACACACGUGCUACAAUGGACAAUACAAAGGGUAGCGAAACCGCGAGGUCAAGCAAAUCCCAUAAAGUUGUUCUCAGUUCGGAUUGUAGUCUGCAACUCGACUACAUGAAGCUGGAAUCGCUAGUAAUCGUAGAUCAGCAUGCUACGGUGAAUACGUUCCCGGGUCUUGUACACACCGCCCGUCACACCACGAGAGUUUGUAACACCCGAAGCCGGUGGAGUAACCUUUUAGGAGCUAGCCGUCGAAGGUGGGACAAAUGAUUGGGGUGAAGUCGUAACAAGGUAGCCGUAUCGGAAGGUGCG
This is a ribosomal RNA of 595 nucleotides. It matches the Rfam family "Bacterial small subunit ribosomal RNA", at positions 923 to 1516 of the family's 1533-position model.